RNAcentral lists this long non-coding RNA (1204 nucleotides) under Monodelphis domestica (gray short-tailed opossum). RNAcentral's name for it is "lncRNA (ENSMODG00000046687.1)". Lineage: Eukaryota; Metazoa; Chordata; Mammalia; Didelphimorphia; Didelphidae. The record is from RNAcentral.
UCUUCAAUACGAGCAAUAGUAUUCACAGCCGAUUUUUUGAGAGAACUCUGGCGUUUCUUGUCGUCUGCUGUGGCCAUUCCGUGCACUUCUUUCUGAGAGCUGUGCCCUUCCCUCCUAUCUGGACCUGAGCCUGAAGCUUGGCUAAUUUUUCUUAUUUAAAGCUUGGUAGUUCUGAAGCCCAGGGGUUGGGGUGGGGGUGGGGUCUCCAACAGCCACACGUGGCGGAAGCAAAAUGGCGGUCGUAGCAGAAGCAGAGAAGGACUACUACAGGAGAUUUUUGAGCAGAGGAGUGGCAUAGCCAGACUUGUGCCUUAGCAGUAGUAAUUUGGUUGCUGUACAGGGAAUCCACUGGAGAAAGGAUGAAAGGUUAAGAAAUCUAUUGUUACAGAAUCUUGGACUUGGCCUUUGGAACCAUCAAAAACUCUCCUAUGGAAGCAUCAAGGAAGAGGCCUUCAUAUAACUUCAAAAACAAAUUUAGUUACCCAGGAUAAGAAUCAAAUCAGUAAAUCAAGGAUGGAAGCAGGAACUUUGCAGCAAAUAUCUGUAAUAUUCGAUACAAAGAGAAGGGAUUGGCACGUCUUCACAUGGAUGCAGGAGUCAGGAAUGGAGAAUUCUGUUCUGCAUCUGAUUCUUUUUUUUCAAUGCUAAAAUAAUCAAUACGCUUAUUUUUAUAUGUCACAAUACAAAUAUAAGCUGCAUUUCUGCCCCACUCUUCCUUUUUAAAUUGUUUCUUUGACAGGAAGUGGGAAGUCUUCUUACAUGUUUGGAAACCACCUCUGGGGCAGUUAGCAAAAAACAAAACACAAAAACUGGCAAGCUAUCAACAAUCAUGACAGAAUGCUCCAACUCUCUAAAAAGAGAAAUGCAAAUUAAAACCCUGAAGCUUUACACAAUUUUGAGAAAGAUGACAUGAGGAAAAUGGUCAGUGUUGGAGGGACUGUGGAAAGAUAGGCACACCAAUGAACUUUUGGUGGAGCUAUGAAUAUGACAAUUCUGAAAAAUGAUUUGGAAUUACUCUAAAAAGUCACUAAAACACACAUCUUUGACUCAGUGAUAUCACUAUUGGCAUAUAAUCCAAGAAGGGCGAAGAUAGUGGGAAAGGUCCCAUAUAUACAAAAAUGUCAAUAGUAGCACUUUUUAUAGUAGCAAAGAACUGCAAACCAACAAUACCCACCAAUUGAGAAACCGACCAACUGGAAGAGGG